AAAGAAUAGAUGUUUCCUAGGCUGACUAAUGGAUUAAAAUUCCCCAAUACUGAGGCAUAUGCUAGUCACAAGUCCGAAGUUGUAGAAGAACCAGUAACUCAUGAAUUGGCCUUAGCUUGCUCUUGCACUUGCUUACUUGCUUGCUUGCUUCUUACAGAGGGCGGAUGGAAUAACUCAACAUUCCUUCCUUCCUCCACUGCAACACAAGUUACAUAGGUGAUGAUGUGGUAGUUGAUUGAUCGGCAUCCCCUCAGCACCCAGCUCACUGCAUUGCACACAGGUGUCUACCAGAAGAUGGACCCAAGAUCCAUGGAGGCUCCUGUGACUCAGAUCAACUGCCCUGCCCGGGAAACCUGGUCUCUCCGGAAACCUUGAUUAAACUGCUUUUUCUGACACCUCUUCCUCUACAACCCUUGAUUCUAUCACCAUUGAAACUUCAGAACCAACUCUAACCAUCCCCACCUCCAGGUGAGGGGACUAAUGAGAAUUACUGACAGCCUGAUGGCUACCCCCAAGUCAGUUUCCCUUCAUACUUUACUACAAAUCUGACCAUGUUCCCAUAUUUACUGAGUAAAUUUGAUGAAAUUUA
Molecule: long non-coding RNA, 589 nt
Organism: Homo sapiens (human)
Lineage: Eukaryota; Metazoa; Chordata; Mammalia; Primates; Hominidae
Exons: 2
Source: RefSeq, a predicted model, not a curated record